This is a long non-coding RNA of Triticum dicoccoides, 566 nucleotides long. RefSeq lists it as uncharacterized. NCBI's taxonomy places the organism in Eukaryota, Viridiplantae, Streptophyta, Magnoliopsida, Poales, Poaceae. The record is from RefSeq and is a predicted model, not a curated record. The transcript is spliced from 3 exons.
AAAAGGUUCAUAGUUUGUUUGACUUUCUUACUUCUUUCAUAAAUUUGUCGGAUGAGAAUUUUCGCAGGCAGAGCUUGCAUGCUGUUUUGGCUAUGAAAUCUGCAGAAAAACUUGGCCACUUUUCAGCAAACAACUGUUUUCGAGUGUGCAAAUUGUUCAUCACCUUGUGAGGGUUUGGAUGAGAGCGGCGAUUUGGCGGACGGGCGCGCGUGCUCACCCUAUGUGGCACGUAGGUACAGGUGGAGCAGUGCGGCGCAGGUCAGGGUGGUAUGCGGGAGCAAUGCCAGAAAUAAGUGCGGCCAGAUGUGAGAACGACGUCUCCGUGACCGCGAAUGUAACGGGGGCAAAGUGUACCAGAGGUACACGACGGGGCCUGCACGCCGUGCCGCUAGCGUCCCAGAAAAAGAAAAGAACCAUGGAUGCGUCCAACCUGUACCUAUAGACAGCGUGCCUGGGAGAGUUUCUACGAUGAUGCGGGCAUGGAGGCGGCGCUAGGAACGACUAAUGGUUUCGAGUUCUUAUCUGAUCCGAUGGACAGGUUCACCAUGUCGUCGGCGACCGGGGAA